This 497-nucleotide ribosomal RNA is filed under the name uncultured bacterium. RNAcentral's name for it is "partial 16S ribosomal RNA". It matches the Rfam family "Bacterial small subunit ribosomal RNA", at positions 28 to 507 of the family's 1533-position model. The record is from RNAcentral.
GACGAACGCUGGCGGCGUGCCUAAUACAUGCAAGUUGAGCGCUGAAGGCUGGUUCUUGUACCAACUGGAUGAGCAGCGAACGGGUGAGUAACGCGUGGGGAAUCUGCCUUUCAGCGGGGGACAACAUUUGGAAACGAAUGCUAAUACCGCAUAAAAACUUUAAACACAAGUUUUAAGUUUGAAAGAUGCAAUUGCAUCACUCAAAGAUGAUCCCGCGUUGUAUUAGCUAGUUGGUGAGGUAAAGGCUCACCAAGGCGAUGAUACAUAGCCGACCUGAGAGGGUGAUUGGCCGCAUUGGGACGGGGACACGGCCCAAACGCCUUGGGGAGGCAGCAGUAGGGAAUCUUCGGCAAGGGACGGAAGUCUGACCGAGCAGCGCCGAGUGAGUGAAGAAGGUUUUCGGGUCGGAAAACUCUGUUUGUAGGGAAGAACGUUGGUGAGAGUGGAAAGCUCAUCAAGUGACGGUAACUACCCAGAAAGGGACGGCUAACUACGUG